This is a long non-coding RNA of Rhagoletis pomonella (apple maggot), 1048 nucleotides long. RefSeq lists it as uncharacterized. The record is from RefSeq and is a predicted model, not a curated record. NCBI's taxonomy places the organism in Eukaryota, Metazoa, Arthropoda, Insecta, Diptera, Tephritidae. The transcript is spliced from 3 exons.
UCAAGUAUGCCAAAAAAAUCUAAAAUAAUGGAAAUAUUUUGAAUUAAAACAAUAAUUUACAUAUGUAUUUCUUUGCAGAGCCUCCGAGUUAUUCGAAAUUCGUAUUAAAGAACUAGAGUUUUAGAAGAAGUAAAGUUUUGCAUAUUUACAAGUCCGGAUCAUCUGUGUGUCCGUCCACAUUCGCUGGUGCAGGGAUUCUCCCUAUUGCAGCCUUUGCAUAUUUAUAAGUCCGGAUCAUUUGUCUGUCCGUCUACAUUCGCUGGUGCAGCGAUUUUUAUAUACUUCCAGGACUCUAAUCUGAUCGCAGAUACAACUUUUUCCUUACCGCAAGCUCAACAUCAUCGUAGCGCAGCCCACUUUUAGCGCAAGACCUUUACAAUAUCGCACACCGUGUUCAAAAGAGUCACAACUCAAAUAAUACGAUUGUAAGAAAAUGCGAAAAACUAUUUCUUAGCACAUGGUCAUCACAUGGACAAGGGUGACUUUACCUUAGGUUUUUUUAACAAAUUAUAAAAAAAAAAUUUCUGCAGCUUUUGCUGAAAGUUAAAUAGGAGCUCUGUGCAUAAUUUCAAAAAUUACAAAUUUUGAGGUGUGACUCUUUUGAAGACGGUGUGCGAUAUGCUGGUGUUUUGUAUGUAAGUUUUAAUAAGUGGAAAAAGUCUAGUGUACUAACCGUUCAUCUAUAGAACACCCAAAAAAGUACAAAACAGUAAAAUUAAAUUUAAAUUAAAAAACCAAAUGUAAUUAAAUUAGGAUGCUCAAGAUCUACUUUUUAAAUGUAACCAUUAUAAUGAUUAACAAGACUCAUAAGAGAAAAUAGUAGAAAACAUUUCCAAAAAUUUACAUGUUUAAAAAACGAAAUGUAAUUAAAUUACGAUACUGAAGACAUAUUUCUUAAAUGUAACCAAUAUUAUGAUUAAGAAGACUGAUUGGAAAAAAAUACAAAACAUUAAAAUUAAAUUUUAAUUAAAAAACCAAAUGUAAUUAAAUUAGGACACUCAAGAUCUAACUUUUCAAUGUAACCAAUAUAAUGAUUAGCAAGACUGAU